This 77-nucleotide transfer RNA is filed under the name Mycolicibacterium senegalense. Its description in RNAcentral is "tRNA-Met". It matches the Rfam family "tRNA". From Rfam's summary of the family: Transfer RNA (tRNA) molecules are approximately 80 nucleotides in length. Their secondary structure includes four short double-helical elements and three loops (D, anti-codon, and T loops). Further hydrogen bonds mediate the characteristic L-shaped molecular structure. tRNAs have two regions of fundamental functional importance: the anti-codon, which is responsible for specific mRNA codon recognition, and the 3' end, to which the tRNAs corresponding amino acid is attached (by aminoacyl-tRNA synthetases). tRNAs cope with the degeneracy of the genetic code in two manners: having more than one tRNA (with a specific anti-codon) for a particular amino acid; and 'wobble' base-pairing, i.e. permitting non-standard base-pairing at the 3rd anti-codon position. The record is from RNAcentral. RNAcentral also lists the same sequence under 2 other names. Lineage: Bacteria; Bacillati; Actinomycetota; Actinomycetes; Mycobacteriales; Mycobacteriaceae.
CGCGGAGUAGGGCAGGUAGGUAGCCCGCCGGGCUCAUAACCCGGAGGUCGCGGGUUCGAAUCCCGCCUCCGCAACGA